Felis catus (domestic cat) is the source of this 1323-nucleotide long non-coding RNA. RefSeq lists it as uncharacterized. NCBI's taxonomy places the organism in Eukaryota, Metazoa, Chordata, Mammalia, Carnivora, Felidae. The record is from RefSeq and is a predicted model, not a curated record. The transcript is spliced from 4 exons.
CUGGAGGGGAGGAGACAAGGCAGGGCCACAGCGGGAGGCGGUGACGCGGCGCCGAGUGGUCUCUUGGGAGUUGUAGUUCUCCGACUGAAGAAAAAAGGGAUACAUCGUGGUUGAGGAAGCGUCCCGGCUCUCACUGCACUGCGCAUGCUCGGGGAGAGGCUCAGCCCCCUGCUGUUACUAUGGUCACCGACACACUGAGGAAGAGAACGUGUUCUUUGCUGCUGCUGGCUGAACAAGGGCCUUCUUGUCUUAAGGUCAGAUAUCAUGCCGAAGAUACUUCUUGGAGUCAAAUCACAGAGACAUUCUAGUGCUUGACCACAACACUUAUAUCCCUAUGGUAUUGAUGGCAGACAUCCGGGACUAUGAAUACAGUGAUGAACAGGUCCGGGGAAGCUCCUGAUGUCAAGAUCUACAAGGGAGGGGGAACGGUAUAAAGCACUGUAGUAGGUGCUGAAGAUAUAGAAGUAAACAGAACAUCAUCCCUGCCCUAAAGACGCUUCUGUGACUGUUCAUCUUGACUGGCCUGGUCAGUCCUGGUUUACACCUAUUUCCCCAAUAAUUAUAAAUAGCACCCCCUUUCGCUCUAAAGUGUCCAAGUUUGGGUGAUAGAUUACAUAUACCCUAUAAUAAUAUUUCCCACUAUUUCCCAUGAUGUUUUUGAAAUACUUGUAACUUUUGGAUAUAAAUAAAAACACAAACAGUGAAGGCCCCCAAAAUGUACUGACACUCUGUCUUGAUUUUGGAAUCACUAUUUCUGUCACCAUGUGUCAGGUGAAGUAAGUUCAUUGGGAAAGUGUGGCAUUUGGUUUUACGUUAUUUUUAAAAAAUGCAAGCACUGUUCAAUCUCCAGCAGGAGGACAGAAAACCAGUUAGAAAACUCAAGAAGAGAGAGAACACUGAGGUAAACGGAGGUAAUACUAUGUAUCGUACACUCAACUCCAACUUUGGUAGGAACUGGAGGUGAAUAGGAUGCGAGGGCCCUUGGCAGCCAGGAAUGUGUCAGGUGGAGCAGGCAAAGCCAUGGUUGGAGGCAUUUAGGGUCAAGAGCCUCUGAUCUUAGAAUUCAAGUUGGCAUCUGCCUUUCCCUCCAUUGGACACUUUGGUCUCUACCCCACUUCUAAAGGUACUGAACUCAUUGUUUUUCAAAGCUACCUGCAAUGUGCUUUUGUGAAAGGUCGGUGUCUGCAGAACAUCUAAUUACACAUCAUUUUGUGUACUGUUGUCUGAAUAUGUAUAUGUAUGUAUUUUGAUAUUGAAGACAAGCUAUUUUUAGUUUCCUUUUGGGUAUGUUUGGAGAAACUCUUAACUGUUGCUAUGCUGCUA